GCGAGACUUCCCUGAUGGAGGGCCGGGCGGACACGGGACCCACAGGGCAGGCUCCGUCACAGGUCAGUCUGCGCCCGCGGCCGGGUGGCACCGACAGCGACUCAGGACCUGGUGCUAGGCGCGCUCCCGGUUCCCGGGCAUGUGUGGUAGGCAUCGCCGGACGUCCGCGGCGAUGGAGAACACACUGGGGGUGACAAACCCCCCGUGCUGGGACACAGACUCGGGCCUUUCCCCAGCUCAGUCACAGAGACGAUGACUGGCCGACUUCCAGGAGGCUCAUCCUGGGUGGAGCCCACCACAGCUGCCUCAGCCCUGGGGACAGCGGGGACGGGGGAUGCGUUCGCCCCAGAGCUGGGCUUGGUUAGGAAGACGACGCAGUGCUUCUGGGAGGGGACAAGGCUGGCGUGUCUGAGGAUGGCCCGCUGGCCGUGAGGAGGAGCUGCAGAGAGAGGGCGUGGACGCUCUGGAAUCUUCCAGGGCCACUGUGAGCGUGCCGGAUCCACCACCGUGCAAGCUCCCAGCUCCGCCAGACUCGCGCCGAGACCACGAGUGCACCUGCUGCAGCGCCCCCCCCCCCCGCCAAUCCCUCUUCAGCUUCUGCAUCUGCCUCUCCUCACUGGACACUGCCCCAGCCCCUCUGUCCUCACUGGACUCUGCCCCAGCCGCUGCGUCCUCACUGGACACUGUCCCAGCCGCUCCGUCCUCACUGGACACUGCCCCAGCCCCUCUGUCCUCACUGGACACUGCCCCAGCCCCUCUGUCCUCACUGGACUCUGCCCCAGCCGCUCCGUCCUCACUGGACUCUGCCCCAGCCGCUCCGUCCUCACUGGACACUGUCCCAGCCGCUCUGUCACACAUCAAUCCAGAACCUUACCAUAAUGAUGGAGAAAUGUGCCCCAAUUUUUCCCACAUUCCCCAAACAUCUGCGUGGCCACCCAUCAGUAUCAGGCACCACAGGAAGCCCCGACGGCACCCGGGCAGCGGAGUGGGUGUGGAGCGGAGUGGGUGUGGCCUCAGCUCCCUGCGAUGUCUCCUGAGACAGAAGUGGGGUCGCAGAGCUCAGGAGCACCUCCCUGGAGCCGGCCUCGGGGUCUCCACGCACAGCGGCACGGGAGAUGCAGCCCCGGCCAGUGCCUCCCUGGAGCCGGCCUCGGGGUCUCCACGCACAGCCGCACGGGAGACACAGCCCCGGCCAGCGACGGCCUGGAGCCGGCCUCAGGGUCUCCACGCACAGCGGCACGGGAGAUGCAGCCCCGGCCAGUGCCUCCCUGGAGCCGGCCUCGGGGUCUCCGCACACAGCCACACAGGAGACACAGCCCCGGCCAGUGACAG
Molecule: long non-coding RNA, 1332 nt
Filed under: Oryctolagus cuniculus (rabbit)
Lineage: Eukaryota; Metazoa; Chordata; Mammalia; Lagomorpha; Leporidae
Description: lncRNA (ENSOCUG00000035306.1)
Source: RNAcentral